This 70-nucleotide transfer RNA is filed under the name Bregmaceros nectabanus (smallscale codlet). RNAcentral describes it as "tRNA-Pro". It matches the Rfam family "tRNA". From Rfam's summary of the family: Transfer RNA (tRNA) molecules are approximately 80 nucleotides in length. Their secondary structure includes four short double-helical elements and three loops (D, anti-codon, and T loops). Further hydrogen bonds mediate the characteristic L-shaped molecular structure. tRNAs have two regions of fundamental functional importance: the anti-codon, which is responsible for specific mRNA codon recognition, and the 3' end, to which the tRNAs corresponding amino acid is attached (by aminoacyl-tRNA synthetases). tRNAs cope with the degeneracy of the genetic code in two manners: having more than one tRNA (with a specific anti-codon) for a particular amino acid; and 'wobble' base-pairing, i.e. permitting non-standard base-pairing at the 3rd anti-codon position. Lineage: Eukaryota; Metazoa; Chordata; Actinopteri; Gadiformes; Bregmacerotidae. The record is from RNAcentral.
CAGAGAGUAGUUAAAUUUAGAAUUCUGGUUUUGGGAACCAGGGGUGGGAGUUAAAAUCUCCUCUUUCUGA